Long non-coding RNA from Cornus florida, 1345 nucleotides. RefSeq lists it as uncharacterized. The record is from RefSeq and is a predicted model, not a curated record. The transcript has 4 exons. NCBI's taxonomy places the organism in Eukaryota, Viridiplantae, Streptophyta, Magnoliopsida, Cornales, Cornaceae.
UGGACUCUAAACAGUGUCCCUUCGCUUUUUCUCGUGCUCCGUAUCAACUUCAAAAAAAAAAAAUGAGGUUGAAUUUUCUUUGUACGGAAAAACUAAAGCAUUGCAAAUUCCCCAAAAAAAAACAAAAGGGUAAAGCAUUUUGGACUUCUAUCUUAUCCCUCUAGAUUCCAACAUGUUCAAGUGAAUUUUCUCCGAUUCUAACGCAAUCCCUCGCCCCAUGGAAGCAAAAACUGUUAAUACAGUUGAUGAUCCAUCAUCAGCACGCUUCACAUGGAGGGUUGACAACUUUUCCACGCUGAAUACACAGAAGCUAUACUCUGAAAGUUUUUCAUCUCUACCCUCUUUCUAGAUUUUGAUUUUGGUCCUUAUGUUUGAUUUUUAAGUUUUUUUUUUUUUUUGGUCUGGGAAAGGCGGUUGCUUAUAUUUCCGAAGGGGAACAAUGUGGACCAUUUAUCGAUCUAUUUAGAUUCUGCAAGUUCAGUAACUUUGCCAUCUGGGUGGAGCAAAUUCGCGCAAUUCAGCUUAUCUGUGAUCAAUCAAAUUGAUAACAAGUCCACAAAGAAGAAAGACUUUAAACACCGGUUCAAUGCACGAGAAAGAGAUUGGGGUGGGCUUGAAUUAGUGCCUCUUAGUGAACUGUAUGACCCUGGUAGAGGUUAUCUUGUGAACGAUACAUGUGUUGUUGAAGCUGAUUUCCCUGGCUUCCGUUCAGUUGAACUUAAGGUUGAGGCGGCAAAGACUGCCUGAGGCAGAGAUGAAACUCCUAAUUCUUCUUCUCAAGGGGAUAUUGAUGGGAGGAUUAGACAGAAUGAUUCUGAUACUGAUGCAACCCUGCCUCAGACUGAUACCUCGGGCCCUCCUCCUGCCAGUAAAUCAGCAACUGAAGUGAUCAAGUCUUCGGUCCCACCAGCCACUCCAAUUGUUGAAAAGGAAUCAAUGGUUAAUUCCCCUCACGCCCAAGAUCCGGAAGUUGAGUUGCCAAGGAGUCUUCCAAUGGGUUCUCCUCUUGAGUCAUCUUCAUUUGAUGACAUGGAUGCCUAUACCUCCAAGUUGGUGUCUGUAGUAGAGACUGAUGCACAUUUUGACUCCACUACUGAAGGAUCGGUCGUCGCCUCCAUUCCUCAAUCAACUGUUGAUGAAGCCAAAAAAUUCUUUAUAAAGAUGUUAUCUCGGGACCUAUGAGAAAUUCCUGAUUUUGCCGCACACAUUACAGAAUCCAUCCGUGUCUUAUCAGAGUGUCAUGACCUCACUCCAGCCCAGCUUGCACAGCUGAAAUCCCUCAAGGUUGAGUUUCCAUCAGUUCUCAAAACUUUGACUUCCAGCCAUUCUUUUAAGGAGGUCGAGG